CUCCACUAGCAGAGGCUACAGACAAGUGGGAUCUGAAAGGAUGCAGCAUUCGGAAUGCGCUCCCCACAGUGGACAGUUCUGUCUAAAGCUGGGGACAUAAAACCAUACUGUCAACCUUCUCAGGUUCCAGCUAAAGAACUAAUCAGAUGCAAGAGUGGCACAGCACAUUUUGGUACAAACUGAAGACAUAUUGACCCGUUACCUG
This is an RNA transcript of Odobenus rosmarus divergens (Pacific walrus), 205 nucleotides long. RefSeq lists it as uncharacterized. The record is from RefSeq and is a predicted model, not a curated record. NCBI's taxonomy places the organism in Eukaryota, Metazoa, Chordata, Mammalia, Carnivora, Odobenidae. The transcript has 2 exons.